GGAAAAAAAAACUGCGACGCGAGCUAUGUAAUGUUAUGGUUACUUUUAAACAGUAAAACAGUAAAUGCGUCUCUUAAAAUAAAAUUGUUUGUUUUAUGUUUAAAGUCCUUAAUUUAUUAAAUCCGGUAACAAACAAACAGGAAUCCUCUGAUAAUUAUGCAACAAGUUUGAUAAACACUUUAGCAAGGAGCGGAGUGCAUGAGCAAGUGUUGUUUCUACUAUUAGUUUUCAUACACAUUUUUUGCAAAACAUCAGGAAUACAUUUAUUGAGAACGUAUCAUCAGUGACUGAAAUCUACCGAAAAAAUCGUUUGCGCAUGUUGGAUGGUAUUUGAGAUCUAUAAAUAAGAUUUUUCAGCACGUCAGAAAUCAAGUAAGUCCAAACCAGCACAUGAAAUUGCAACAACUUUAGAUCAAAACAUAAAAGUUGAAUAUAUGAGGUGUGUUCAAAAAGUAAGGUGACUUUUUUAAUUGGGCGGACGAUGUACAUUGGACCUUCGAUAUUUUUUUUUGUUACGUUGGUACACAUGACCCUAACAUAUGUUCACAAUUUCAGCCAGUUUGCACGUUUAUUUUUUUUUGCGAGACAGAAGGGUUGGACGUGGAACGAAAAAUGGAACAAAGUAUUUGUAUAAAAUUUUCUGUAAAAAAUGGAAUACGGUGCUGCAAAACACUUGAAAUGUUGACAACAGCAUAUGGUUUGAGCAAAAAGAAUAUUUUUAAGUGGUACAAGCUGUUCCAAGAUGGCCGACACAACGCCGAUGACGAACCUCGCUUUGGACGCCCCAGCACCGAAAGUUUGGGCAUGAAAUGUGUAACAGCAAAAUUUGGUCCGAAACUGCUUAACUUUGAACGAAAGGACCGUCAAAUGAGCAUUGAUAUGACGUCGAAACCAAAGGUAUGAUCUUGCAAAACGCGGCGACAACAGAACAUAUAUCAAUAGCACCUUAUUUGAAAUCGUAUAAUUUAGUAUUUAAUAGAGCCCAUGGGAAACGACAGUGAAAAAAAGCAAAAAAAAAGGGGGACUCCGGAAGCCAUAUCGGAGCACGAGGAAACAUACAGAUCAUUGUGGUGCGAGGAAGCGUAAAAUCGGGACCCGACACAAGGCGACUGCAUGAGAAUCCGGAAAGAAAAGGGUGCCAUUGCCGAGUCAGUAGUUCCCCAGACUAUGAAAUACGAUCUACUAAUAUAAAGGGGACUUGAAUACGUAUUCAAAUAUACAAAUUUGAUUUAGAUUCGCCGGGUAGCGAGGACGCGACAGUUUCAUACAUCGAUAUAAUAUUUUUGUAGUGGUUUGGAAUUUUAAUUCUAUUUUAUGGUGGUUAUUAUAUCUUAUUUUCCUGCGUAAUUUGUCCGAAAAGCAAAAAUCGAUUAUAACUUGCAUCUUAAGCUUUCAAUGGUGGUUGAUAUUAAAGUGAACAUUAAUAUUAUUAAAAGAUUAAUAACAAUUAUGGACGCAAUUGUCAAUUCGGCAAUGCUUGGUUUAGGUGACAAGUACAAGAAGUUCCAUUUUACUGGACGAGUUGACAAAUUCUGCGGAAUCUUGCGAGUCCAGUAAUACAACUUUCGGGAAGUGUUACGAACAAUAUAUGUUUUUUAAACCGACUCAGUGUUGUACAUAUAAACUUUUUAUGAGAGAAAUCUUUAUUAAUAUUUUCUCACAAACUGAAAGUUUUGUUUAGUAAAAAAUAUACAUAUUAUUUUUGUAUAUUGAUAUUAAACAACUAUUAUCAAUCUAUCAAAUCUUAUAAGAACAUCCUUUGGUUUGAGUAAUUUUAAAAAAGUAGCUAUUUCGAAAGGAGCUUUAGCUACUGCAUGCAUGCGUAAGGCUUGUUGAAUACAUUUUAAUUUAUUGUGAUGAAUAAAGAGACCUAGAUGAGGAAAGUUAGCCAGGCGUAAAACUGGAGACCAUAUAUAAAUUUAUUUCCUUUCCUCAAUUAAUUAUGAAUGACCCAUGAUAAUUUGUUUUGGUGUUUGGAAUUCUAACCAAACGCUUGGUUUGUUUGUCUCUUAUGUCGUCAGUUAAUAUAUUAGUAAUUUCUAUUGUCUAUAUGCUCCAGUAUAACUCAUAAUCAACAAAAUUUUGACCAUAAGAAAGUGUUCAUCUGGUGCUUCUACUGAGAAUUUUCAGAUAUCCAUUUUGUAUAUAAUAUUCUCGAUUUGUUGAGUUUAGCUUUUCUGAGUUUUCUGGUAAAUAUAGCAAUAAAACAUCUCCUUAAAUAUUUAUGGCCUUUUUUUAGGCACAACUUUUCAAAAAUUUGGUAUAUUUCGCUCGUAUCGUGACGUGUAUCACUUGCCCGGGUCGGCAAAAGUAACACACAAAAGGUCUCUUAAAAUUUUAGAUUGGCAAAUAGCUUCCAAUUCGAGGAAGGAAUUUAAAUGACGUCGAUGUAUUAGAGACCGCCAGCGGUACAAUUAAGGAAGGACUUAGCUCCAAACUCUUAACGCAGCUCUGUUUGAAAUUAAAUUAUUUGUUCCCGCGAUACACACAUCGAAUCAUUUCGCGGUUUGCGUUUCACAUCCGAACAAACCAAGUGCUUACUUAACAGAAAUAGAUACAAAAGUGAGGUAAAUUUUACAAUAAAAAAAGCAAUGAAGUUUCUUCUCUCUUUUUGUUAAUUUAUAUAAAUAGCAGAGCGGGUCCAUUUUUGUUGUUCUUUAAUGACCAAAGAAUGUUUUCGUCAAAUAUUUGUAUAAACUAACAUUUGUAAUAUUCGUAUUUCAAGAACCUUCGAAAAAGGCGAAGAAGAAAAUGGUAAACUUGGAAAUAGAAAAUAUAUUUAAAUAUUCGUAUCGUUUUCAAUAAAAAUAUUUGCCACAUGAUAGCAGCAUCAAUUUUCUCAGACCUAUUAUUUCAAAAAGAUUUAAACAAUAUUUUUUAUUUCCUGAAAAGUUUAAAUUUUUCUUUCUCAGUUUUUGUUACUACUAAAUCAA
Molecule: long non-coding RNA, 2933 nt
Organism: Cylas formicarius (sweet potato weevil)
Lineage: Eukaryota; Metazoa; Arthropoda; Insecta; Coleoptera; Brentidae
Exons: 3
Source: RefSeq, a predicted model, not a curated record